This 497-nucleotide ribosomal RNA is filed under the name uncultured bacterium. RNAcentral describes it as "partial 16S ribosomal RNA". It matches the Rfam family "Bacterial small subunit ribosomal RNA", at positions 28 to 507 of the family's 1533-position model. The record is from RNAcentral.
GAUGAACGCUGGCGGCGUGCCUAACACAUGCAAGUCGAGCGAACGGACGAGAAGUUUGCUUCUUUGAUGUUAGCGGCGGACGGGUGAGUAACACGUGGAUCAUCCACCUAUAAGUCUGGGAUAUUUACGGGAAACCGGAGCUUAUACCGGAUAAUAUUUUGAACCGUAUGGUUCAUAAGUGAAUGACGGCCUUGCUGUCACUUAUAGAUGGUUCUCAGCUGCAUUAGCUAGUUGUUAAGGUAACGGCCUACCAAGGGUACCAUGCAUAGCCGACGUAUGAGGAGGAUCGGCCGCCCUGGAACUGGGACGGGGUCCAGACGCCUACGGGAGGCAGCAGUAGCGAAUCUGCCGCAGUGGGCGAGAGCCUGACGCAGCAGCGCCGAGUGAGAGAUGGAGGUGUCCGGAUCGUGAAGCUCUGUUAUUAGGGAAAAACAGAUGUGUAAGUAACUGUACACGUAGUGACGGUACCUAGUCAAGAAGCCCCGGCUAACUACGUG